RNAcentral lists this long non-coding RNA (850 nucleotides) under Homo sapiens (human). Its description in RNAcentral is "non-protein coding lnc-USP53-8:23". The record is from RNAcentral. Lineage: Eukaryota; Metazoa; Chordata; Mammalia; Primates; Hominidae.
CACCUUGACCAUCUCAUGACUUUAUACAGGAAUCGGAGACAUCCAAGGCCAUUCCAUUUCUAAAUCACACUUAUCCCUCAAUCAAGUCAGUGACUGGAUCAUCUCCUAAGGUUUCACCUGCUUUGCAUCAGGGCAGGGUUCCACUCCCAUUGCCCAGGCUGGAGUGCAGUGGCGUGAUCUUGGCUCACUGCAACCCCCUCCUCCCCUAUUCAAGCAAUUCUUCUGCCUCAGUCUUCUAAGUGGCUGGGACUACAAGCGCGUGCCACCACACCCGCGCUUAUAAUAGAAAAUAAUUUUUCUGUUUUUUUGUAGGGAUGGGGUUUCACCAUGUUGGCCAGGCUGGCCUCGAACUCCUGAGCUCAAGUGAUCAACCUGCCUCUGCCUCCCAAAGUGCUGGGAUUACAGGUGUAAGCCACCAUGCCCGGCCUCUGAUUUUUCUAUAGUGAGAACAUAACUAUUUCUGUAAUAAUAUUAAAAAUACUUGUCAGUAUCACAUAGAAUUUUCAACAGCAGAUUCAAAUAAAAUGAAUCCUUGUGUGUGUGUAUAUAUAUAUAUAUAAAUGUAGAAGGAUAACAUCUAUAAUAGGUGAUUACUAUGUUGACUGUAUUUACAGGGAUGGAGAAAACUCAAAAGAGCCAUUAGUAUUUUUAAUGGAGAAACUCUUAAUCCAAUCAAUAAGGAAAGCAACUGUUAUGGAAAGAAUGAGAUGUCCAAGUGUUUGAAACAAUGCUCUGAACACACUUCAUACUUCUGAGGAAGAGCUUUGAACAAAGGAGUAAACAAGUAGAAUGCUGAGAAAAAUAGGGAGACGACAGUGGCACAUGACACCUAGUUUUUUUUUUUUUUUUU